This is a long non-coding RNA of Acanthochromis polyacanthus (spiny chromis), 250 nucleotides long. RefSeq lists it as uncharacterized. The transcript has 3 exons. The record is from RefSeq and is a predicted model, not a curated record. Lineage: Eukaryota; Metazoa; Chordata; Actinopteri; Pomacentridae.
UGUUUCUGUGUGUGUUUGUGGUCUUCCUCCAGGUGUGUGUUUCUGUGUGUGUUUGUGGUCUUCCUCCAGGUGUGUGUUUCUGUGUGUGUUUGUGGUCUUCCUCCAGGUGUGUGUUACCGUGUGUGUUUGUGGUCUUCCUCCAGGUGUGUGUUACUGUGUGUGUUUGUGGUCUUCCUCCAGGUGUGUGUUUCUGUGUGUGUUUGUGGUCUUCAACCAGGUGUGUGUGUGAUACUGUGUGUGUUUGUGGUCU